CCAUCUUAACAGAAUUCACUCCAUUUAUCAUAAUAUUAAAAAAAAAUUGAGGCAAGCAAGGUAAGGUGAGGUAAGGUGAGGUAAAGUAAGGUUAGGUUAGGUUAGGUUAGGUAAUGUUAGGUUAGGUUAGGUAAGGUAAGGUAAGAUAAGGUAAAGUUAGGUUAGGUAAGGUUAGGUAAGGUGAGGUAAGGUUAGGUUAGGUUAGGUAAGGUAAGGUUAGGUUAGAUAAGGUGAGGUAAGGUAAGGUAGGGUAAGGUUAGAUAAGGUAAGGUAAGGUAAGGUUAGAUUAGGUUAGGUUGGGUAAGGUAAGAUAAGGUUAGGUUAGGUAAGGUAAGGUAAGGUAAGGUUAGGUUAGGUUAGGUUAAGUAAGGUAAGGUUAGGUAAGGAAAGGUAAGGAGGUGCAGGUUAGGGUAAGUGGCAAAGGUAAGGAUUAGUCCAUCUUAAGGGAACAGGAAGGAAAGCAGAUUAGGGUAAGUGUUGGGACUAUUGAGGUAAGGAAAUAGUCUAUCUUGAAGGCAAAGGAAAGGAGGACAAGGUUAGGGUAAGGGCCAGAAAGGUAAGGAAUCACUCAGUCUUAAGGGAACAGAAGGGAAAGGAGGUGGAGAUUAGGGUAAGAGGCAAAAGGUAAGUCUAGUCAGUGUUAGGUAUGCAGUUUAGGGUAAGGGAUUAAGGUAAGCGUCUAGUCCAUCUUAUUAGGGUAGGUGGCAGGAAGGGAGAGGAGGAGUAGUUUAGGGUAAGGGAUUAAGGUAAGCGUCUAGUCCAUCUUAUUAGGGUAGGUGGCAGGAAGGGAGAGGAGGAGUAGUUUAGGGUAAGGGGCAGGAAGGUAAGGGAAGAGGGAAGGAAGUGUAGAUUAGGGUAAGGAGCAAAGGUAAGUCUAGUCAAUCUCAAGUGUUCAGGUUAGGGAAAGGGAUUAAGGUAAGGGUCUAGUCCAUUUUGAGGGCAUAGGACAGGAGGUGGAGGUUAGGGUAAGUGGCGGGUAGGGCGAGGAAGGCAAGGAGCGAGCAUAGGGUAAGGCAGGUUAGGGUAAGGAAUGAAGGUAACAGUCUAGUCCAUAUUAAGGGCACAGGACAGGAGGUGGAGGUUAGGGUAGGUGGCGGGUAGGGCGAGGAAGGCAAGGGGGAAGCAUAGGGUAAGAGACAGAAAGGUAAGUCAAGUCAAUCUCAAGUGUUCAGGUUAGGGAAAGGGAUUAAGGUAAGGGUC
This is a long non-coding RNA of Eriocheir sinensis (Chinese mitten crab), 1200 nucleotides long. RefSeq lists it as uncharacterized. The transcript has 3 exons. The record is from RefSeq and is a predicted model, not a curated record. Lineage: Eukaryota; Metazoa; Arthropoda; Malacostraca; Decapoda; Varunidae.